CGUGGGGGAGGAGGUUCGUGGAUGUAAACCCCUUUUGAUUGGGAAGAUGAUGACGGUCCCAAUCGAAUCAUCAUCGGCUAACUCCGUGCCAGCAGCCGCGGUAAUACUGAGGAUGCAAGCGUUAUCCGGAAUUAUUGGGGGUAAAGCGUCCGUAGGUGGCAUUACAAGUCAGUUGUUAAAGCGCGAGGCUUAACCUCGUAAGGGCGAUUGAAACUGUGAAGCUAGAGUUUGGUAGGGGUCAGGGGAAUUCCCAGUGUAGCGGUGAAAUGCGUAGAUAUUGGGAAGAACACCGGUGGCGAAAGCGCCUUGCUGGGCCAGUACUGACACUGAGGGACGAAAGCUAGGGGAGCGAAAGGGAUUAGAUACCCCUGUAGUCCUAGCUGUAAACGAUGGG
RNAcentral lists this ribosomal RNA (394 nucleotides) under Aulosira sp. BHU005. Its description in RNAcentral is "bacterial SSU rRNA". It matches the Rfam family "Bacterial small subunit ribosomal RNA", at positions 400 to 813 of the family's 1533-position model. The record is from RNAcentral. Lineage: Bacteria; Bacillati; Cyanobacteriota; Cyanophyceae; Nostocales; Fortieaceae.